UACAGAGGGUGCGAGCGUUGUUCGGAAUUAUUGGGCGUAAAGGGCGCGUAGGCGGUGCGGUAAGUCACCUGUGAAAUCUCCUGGCUCAACUGGGAGCUUGCAGGCGAAACUGCCGUGCUGGAGUGUGGGAGAGGUGAGUGGAAUUCCCGGUGUAGCGGUGAAAUGCGUAGAUAUCUGGAGGAACACCGGUGGCGAAGGCGGCAUCCUGGACCGGCAUUGACGCUGAGGAGCGAAAGCCAGGGGAGCAAACGGG
This 253-nucleotide ribosomal RNA is filed under the name uncultured bacterium. RNAcentral's name for it is "partial 16S ribosomal RNA". It matches the Rfam family "Bacterial small subunit ribosomal RNA", at positions 524 to 776 of the family's 1533-position model. The record is from RNAcentral.